UCAGAUAUAGAUUACGACAAUUUGCUCAGGUACAUUUUUGGCUUGCCAAACCAUAGUAUAAUCUAUGACCACGGCCGUACCAACCAUAGUGGUCCUAUAAGAUAUUCUAUGGUCACGAUAGUACUUAACCAAAGGUGACCCCUAACAGAUAUUCGUGUCACCAUUCUCGUUAGAGAGUACGCCGUAAUCCAAAAAGAGCAGUCCU
RNAcentral lists this long non-coding RNA (205 nucleotides) under Carica papaya (papaya). RNAcentral describes it as "long non-coding RNA (CPAP_LNC011852)". The record is from RNAcentral. Lineage: Eukaryota; Viridiplantae; Streptophyta; Magnoliopsida; Brassicales; Caricaceae.